This 44-nucleotide small RNA is filed under the name Candidatus Protochlamydia amoebophila. RNAcentral's name for it is "CRISPR-DR50". The record is from RNAcentral. Lineage: Bacteria; Pseudomonadati; Chlamydiota; Chlamydiia; Parachlamydiales; Parachlamydiaceae.
CCUUCUAGUAACAUCAAAAACAAAAUUUUGAAAGCUUUCGGAUC